UAGUCCACGCCGUAAACGAUGGGUGCUAGAUGUUGGAUUCUUUGAAUUCAGUGUCGUAGCUAACGUGUUAAGCACCCCGUCUGGGGAGUACGGUCGCAAGAUUAAAACUCAAAGGAAUUGACGGGGACCCGCACAAGCGGUGGAGCAUGUGGUUUAAUUCGAGGCAACGCGAAAAACCUUACCAAUUUUUGACAUGGUGGUCGCAGAUAUAAGAAAUUAUAUCCUUCAGUUAGGCUGGACCACACACAGGUGCUGCAUGGCUGUCGUCAGCUCGUGUCGUGAGAUGUUGGGUUAAGUCCCGCAACGAGCGCAACCCUCACCCUUAUUUGCUAACAUUAAGUUGAGAACUAUAAGGGAACUGCCGGUGCAAGCCGGAGGAAGGUGGGGAUGACGUCAAGUCUUCAUGGCCCUUAUGGAUUGGGCUACACACGUGCUACAAUGGUGGUUACAAUGGGACGCUACUUCGCGAGAAGAUGCUAAUCUCCAAAAACCAUCUCAGUUCGGAUUGCACU
Molecule: ribosomal RNA, 512 nt
Filed under: uncultured bacterium
Lineage: Bacteria
Description: bacterial SSU rRNA
Rfam family: Bacterial small subunit ribosomal RNA
Source: RNAcentral